AGAUUGAACGCUGGCGGCAUGCUUUACACAUGCAAGUCGAACGGCAGCGCGGGGCAACCUGGCGGCGAGUGGCGAACGGGUGAGUAAUAUAUCGGAACGUACCCAAGAGUGGGGGAUAACGUAGCGAAAGUUACGCUAAUACCGCAUACGAUCUAAGGAUGAAAGCAGGGGACCGCAAGGCCUUGUGCUCCUGGAGCGGCCGAUAUCUGAUUAGCUAGUUGGUAGGGUAAAGGCCUACCAAGGCUACGAUCAGUAGCUGGUCUGAGAGGACGACCAGCCACACUGGAACUGAGACACGGUCCAGACU
This 307-nucleotide ribosomal RNA is filed under the name uncultured soil bacterium. RNAcentral's name for it is "bacterial SSU rRNA". It matches the Rfam family "Bacterial small subunit ribosomal RNA", at positions 26 to 337 of the family's 1533-position model. The record is from RNAcentral.